This is a non-coding RNA of Mycena rosella, 101 nucleotides long. Lineage: Eukaryota; Fungi; Basidiomycota; Agaricomycetes; Agaricales; Mycenaceae. The record is from the annotation of a GenBank genome assembly.
GGUUCUGUAGUGUAGCGGUUAUCACUCCAGAUUUUGACGAAAUCGGUGAGAUUUCAGCAAUCGAAAUUCUGGUGACCCCGGUUCGAUCCCGGGCAGGACCU